Molecule: unclassified non-coding RNA, 4451 nt
Filed under: Cotesia glomerata
Lineage: Eukaryota; Metazoa; Arthropoda; Insecta; Hymenoptera; Braconidae
Description: hemicentin-2, transcript variant X2
Source: RNAcentral
UGACUAUAUGGUUUUUUUUUUUUUUUUUUUUUUUUUUUUUUUCUCUUUAUUUGUGCAAAAAUGUGCUCAUGGUGAUUUAUUCCAAUAAUAUGAUUUUGUAUAACUGCCACAAUAUGAAUGAAAAAGUUUUACAGUGUAAAUUGUUAUUAAUUUAUUAAAGAUGGGUGUUUAAAUCUGAAACUAAUAUUUCUGUUUAAAACUGAUGAUUUGAAAAUAAAAAAAAAAAUGUAUUGCUGUUUAAAUUUAUAAACUAUAAAAAGUUACUGUCAUACAGAGACACUUUGUAUAAUCGGCCUUAAAAAAAUGACACCACUUGUUACUUACACGAUAGUGUUUAUGGUUAAUAUUUUCUUUCAUUCGAUAGUCGAGGGGAUGGAACCAUGGAAAAAAAGCGAAAAAAAUGGAGAACAAGGAUCAGAAAUACAAUUACCGUGUAUUUUAAAAAGUCCAAAAUGUGGUGGACUUCACAGUAUUAAGUGGUACAGAGGUAGCCAGAGAAUACUCAUAUUCAGUGAAAGUGCUGGGAUAACACGUGGAAAUAAUGAUAUUGCAGCAAGAUCAACAAUGAAUUACAAUCAAAAUGCUACGAAAACAUAUCUAAAAAUAUCAGAUUUAAAACUAGAAGAUGAAGGUUUAUACAAAUGUGAAGCUACGUAUUUAGCUGUGAAUAGGGAGUGUAAUAAUGUACAACAUAUAACUCUCAAUACCACUGUACGUCCUAAAUUUUUACGGAUUACAGAAGAAGAUGAUAAUACAAAUUUAACUUCAGGGACUAUUUUAGGGCCAAUUAAUGAAGGUACAUUAAUGACUUUAAAUUGUGAAAGUGAUCAAGGAAAACCCGUACCAACUGUGGAAUGGUAUAAAGGCGAUAAGAGACUUAAAGCCAUUGGUUCAACAAAGGUCAGAGAAAAUGGGGUUGGAAUAGGAAGUAGUGUGCUACAGUUGCAAGUUGGCCGCAGCGAAUUAGGUGCUACCUUUACUUGCAAAAUCAGCAGUUUGGCACUUGCUGAGCCUCUAACUGUCGACAUCAAACUUGACGUUCACGUAAGACCACUUAAAAUGGACGUAAAAGGUGUGGUAGGACACGUAGUGAGUGGUACUAAAAUUUUACUAGAAUGUAAAGUCAGUGCCGCAAGACCACCAGCAAAUGUUACCUGGUACAACGGAACUGAUUUUCUGACCAAUGAUAAUGACAGAUUCGAAAUGUUUGAAACUAAAAUAGAUGACAAUAGUGAUGGUACAUCUGAAACAAGCAGUUAUCUUGCAUUCACAGCAUCAGAAUACGAUAAUGGUCAGACAUUUAGUUGUUUUGCUGAAAAUUCAGUCACAAGAAUUGAAGGAAUCAAACCAAUGAAAGAAGCUACAACAAUUGAAGUUUUGUAUGCUCCAAUUAUUACUAUGCGGCCAGCCAACAUUACCGUCAAUGAGACUGAAGACUUUGUCAUAAUUUGCAACUACGAAGCCAACCCUGCGGGCUUAACAUCCGUCAAGUGGUUACAAAAUGAUCAAGAGCUGGAAUUAAAUGAAGAUCACUAUGAGGGUGGUGUAACAGAACAGACAUCUCUUACGGUUAAAAAUGCAAGUGCUUCAGACAUGGGCACAUACAAAUGUGUACUUAGUAAUAGCGUUGGAGAGACAACACCUGAAAAUACUGUUGAUGUUUCUGUUCUUUAUAAACCUAUUGUUAAAGUAUUAGUAGAACCAGAAGUACCGAUAAAUGAAGCAGAUCGUUUAAAUGUAUCUCUUACAUGUUAUGCAGUAAAGGGUAAUCCAAUAAAUUUGAAUGCGGUAAGAUGGUAUUUAGACGGAGAUUUAUUAAAAGAAUUACCCGACUGUAAUAUAAAAAAUAAUUCAACAAUAACAUUAAAUAUGGACGAUACUUUAACAUUUUGCGACAUUGAUCCAAGCAAAUUACUAUUGGAGGCAGUUGGCCGUUCAUUUCAUGGAAAUUAUUCUUGUGAGGGUCGAAACGACGCUGGAUGGGGUUUAAUUUCACCAAGUACUCCAGUAAUUGUAUACUAUAAACCUGGUCCAGCUAUGAUAAGCUAUAAACCAAAACGAGUUAUAAAAGGUAGUUCAUUGAAUAUAACUUGUACUGUAACUGAUCCUGGUCGACCAGCGGUGACUGGUUACAAGUGGAUACGUGGGAUGCAUCGUCUUGCUGAUCAAGAAAAAUCAAUUCUUAGCAUUGAUUCAGUUAAUCUCAGGACCAAAGCCAAUUUUACGUGCAUCGCAUAUAAUGAAGCUGGAGACGGUGAUCCAGCUACAACUUUUAUAGACGUUGCCGCACCACCUGCAUUUAUAAAUCCACUUGCACCGUAUCAUGGUUACGUAUACAAUGCAGUGAAUGUUAGUAUCGGAUGUCGAGUUGAGUGCUCACCCAUCUGCAACGUGUCGUGGAUCAAAAACAACGAGCCAAUUAAUUUUACCGUAAUAGAUAGGUAUUAUGUGACCAAUGUAUACCAUCCAGCUGACCAAAGUACUAGCGAUUUUGAGAGUAUUCAGUCUAAUCUCACCUGGAAUUUGGAUAAAUGGCCAAAUAAACAACUUGAUCGAUUUAAAGACAAUGAUAAUUACACAUGUAUUAGUAGUGAUAAUGAUGUUGGUAAAGGAGUACAUAGUACAACUCAUUUUCAAGUUGAAUUCCCGCCAGAAAAUAUGACAAUAUCAAAAAAAAUAAUAGACGUUAUUGUUGACUUUAUACCAGAUAGUGUUAAAUGUGGGGCUGUUGCUCACCCUGAACCAACUUUUCGAUGGUACCGUCAAGGAUCUACUGAAACAAUAUCCCAAAGUCCAGUUCUUGUUUUUGAAACAAAAGUACCUAAACGUAGUAAUGGAACAUAUUUUUGUGAAGCUACUAAUCGACAUGGUACUCUUAAUAUUUCAACAUAUCUCAAUGUCCUUUAUAAGCCAGAGUGCCAAAUAAAUAAAGAGCGUAUUAAUGGUGAAGAUUAUCUGGUGUGUACAGCAGUGGGUAACCCAAAGGAGUCAAACUUUAGUUGGUCAUUGAAGAGUGACAAUGAUUCUCUUGGCCAACUUGCUGAGAUUCGCCAAGGCCAAAGUUAUCUUCUAUUGGACACUGCGGUUACAAACUUUCGUACUUAUGUCUGUAUUGCUAAUAAUUCUAUUGGAUCAUCACUUCCGUGUGAACGUGGAGUACCCGCACGCCAAGGACGUGCAGGCAAUCUUCCAUGGUGGUUUCAAUUAGAGGGUGAUCUUUUAAUAAUUGUCAUUAUAAUAAUCGUCACUGUUGUUAUUGCCAUUGUCGUUUGCUGCGUCAUUGUUUAUUUGAUAUGUCGUCGUAAACAAAUGCACGCGAAAUACAGUAAUCGCAUGGUCACAUUGGAGGAACGUCAACAUCCGGACGGUGGUCCACCGAGCCCGACAGAGUCGAUACGUUCACAUGGACGAUGCUCAUCCCUUCACUCAAACCCAGUUCCACGAUGGCCUUUAAAACCAGGAGUUUUAGUGCACAUUAAUCGCACGCAUAGCCUCAGUUCAGGAUUAAAUCCAGUUCCGCUCUCAACUUCAAAUCAUCAUAUACACACAAUACCACCAACAUUACCAUCGACAACAACAAUAACAGCAGCAGUAGCAACAACAACAACAACAACAGAAACAAUUUCUGCAACAACAGCAGAAAUAACGUCGUCACCAACCACAACUAUGAAUACAAUGAUGACUACUAAUAAAAACUAUAAAGUCGAUCGAUAUCGUACGCGAGGAGAUGAAAUAAUAGUCACUAGACGACCGAUUAAACCAUUUAGACGCGGAAAAAUUAUGACUAUUACCCAAAUGGGUAUUCCUAUACAUAAUAUUGUUCAUGAUGAAGGCAUGAUUGCACGAGCUAAUAGGUUAAAAGCAAUAUUUAGUUCACAACUAAAGGAGCCUGAUUCAUUUCCCGGUAUAUCCAGAGAAAAAACAGCUGUGACUUAUAAAAGAAUAGUACCUCGGCAACGGAUGUCGUACAACACCCCAACACUUGCUGCAUCAAAUUGCGACACCUCCGCCGAUGGCACUGACUGCGGUGGUGGUGGUGAUGUUAACAUAAACGCAAAUUCCAAUGUAUCUCGUAAGCGCAAAAAGCCGGGAGCAGAUCCUGGCCAUCAAGGGAAUAAAAAUAGUCAUAUUGAUAGUGUUUCCGAAGGGUUGCAACCAGAAUCGGAUGGCAAAACUUUUUAUGAAAAUCUUCCAUUUCACGGAAUCCAAACCCCACCAAACAAGGACACCCAGCGAGCGAAGAGCGAUACGUAUAUUUACUAAAGAAUGUUUCCGGUUGGAGAAUAUCUAUAUUGUGUAGGAUCCAUGCAUAACACCAUCCCAGCAGCAGCAACCGGACGCUGCAGCCUUUUAAGCCUGAAUUCUCUGACUUGGAUUACGCAGAAGUUGACUACAGAUCUUAUGGACCUAUUAACUACAAGGCUGCCAGUAUUGCGCUGUUACAGAAUCGA